GAACAGGAUCUGUUCUAUAGGCUCGUACCGCUGCAUCCUUUACCAAUAAGGAGGCAAGCACUUCAGUCUGGUUGAUGCAUUCUAACCUCUAGGCCAGAGCGUGAUUAACUGCCAGGAUUCACCUGAUGGGUCUUAUCCGAUGGCUGUAGAGGAUCGUUCCUGCCCAUACUUGUGUGUGCAGGGUGGCCUAGAGGUUGUCUGACAGACCCAACAACACUUUUUUUGCUUCAAGUUUAGGGUGAAAUCUAUGAAUUUAACCAUCUGAAUUAGCGAACUUUCAGCCAUCUGUCAAGGCUGUGCUGUAGUAAUCCUUUGGGGAUAUGGUUGCUCAUGUCCUCGUAACCCAGAUGCUCCAGCAGUGAUGAUGUUCGUAAAAAGAAUAUUAUUGCUUGCUUGAUUGCUUAAGAGUUUAAAAUGUUAUCAAAAAAAUCAAGUCCAGGAUUAAUGGCCAUAUCAUCAGAAAAAAUCAACUCCAGGAUUAAUGGAGAGAGAGCGCAUAAGUUGGAGGAUUUUGCAAAUUGACAACUGAAACAGAAGUAAUCAUUUGCUUCAACUGUCCUUUGAUGUCUCGGACUUCGUUUUGUGCAGUAGAAACUGUAAUACCGCUGCACAUUUGCUUGCGCAGUUCGAUCUCAAGGCUUCUGUGCCUCUCACCUUUUGGGCAGAUGUUGCCCCUGACUGUGUUGCUUGUCUGGUGACCAGCGAGAUUGCUAGGAGCCAAGCCUGAGUGGAAUGGGUCUUAUUCCUUUUAAGAAAACUGAAUUCCUUCCUUUGCACCAUGCCGCUUUUUCUUCAGUCUGUCUCUCAAUUAGCAGUAGCCAGAUAAAAAAUUGUUGACCUGGCAGGAACAGUAGGUGGUUUGCCUACUGCAAGUAUGCUCAGUAAGGAAAACACUUGUUGACCUGGCAGUGCAAUUCAGAACAAGAUUUUCUUUGGUUGUGGAAGACUGAGUUCAGCUUUUCUUUCAACAGUUCCAUGCAUCUGUACCAGAAGCAUACAUACCUACUUCAACACUUUCAUUGAGCAUAUAUCAUGUCAUCGUAUACUCUACCUAGAAAUUUUUUCUACAAAAACUGAAAACAAGCCGCGUAGAUGCACCAAACAAUUAAAUGCAUAGAUCCAAGGAAAGUUAUCCAUGCAUUGGCCAUAAGUUCUAACCAAUUAUAUUACAUCAGUUUGAAGCAGGGGUUUCAUCCAUAUAAUGAGAGAAGAACGAAUGCAUGACAAAUGUUGGCCUAUUUUAAUAUGUAUUGCUCUUAUCUUGAAAAAAUAAAUGCAAUGCCAUUUCUUGAAGAGCAAACCGUUUCUUUUCUUUUAGAUAGUGGAUGAUUUUUUUUGCCUCAAUCCUUUUUCUUGCAAGAGCCUAAAUCUAUUAAUUAAGAGAGAGUGUCACGAACAUAGGGAACAACAACAAGGCCGCGAUGAAAAUAAAAAGACAACUCUCCUGGCCGCCCCCAUAGACCGAUUGUUGAACACCUAGCGUUGCGCUCGUUUUAAACCUCCCAAGAGAUAAGCAUGAUUAAGAAGUAAAUGGCUUUCUUGUGAGGUCUACCUUGAAGCGCAAGGGCCGACCACCGCUCCACAACAUCUCUCAUUUCACUCCAAUCGCUUGAAUGAAGGUAAAAAAACGAUGAUCAAGACUUUUUUUUUACAGAAGACCAUCAUGACUAGGUUUAUUGAAAUUGAAAUAAUAAUUACAUCAGUUGAGAUUGCUCAAGUAGGAAGUUUGGAGGAUCAUCGCGCCCAUAACUAGAAAUCUUAUUAAAAAAAACUAAACUUUGCUAGCUCAUUAGCCACUACAUCAACUCUUCUAUUACAAUGCUUGAACUUGACCUUCCGAAUUAAAUUUGCAACAUCAAGACAUUUAGCCUAAAUAGCUGCCGCCGAAUCCCAUCACUGAGAUCGGCCAUUGCAGAAACCAAGACCAAGACUUGGAAAGAGGGUGCCCUUUGGAAAUGUCCAAUAGAGGCCGGGCUAGAAGGAGUCCGUUUUGAAAAUAUCAUAUAUUCAUAGCCCAAAAAGAUCCGGAUUUGGUGUGCAGCGGCAUGAUAAUUCAUUUCAGGUUUUCUUUAGGGAGGCUUCGCAUGGUGAAGUAGAAAUUCAUUGAUGUUCCUUUCUAGCUAGAUAAAACUAGCAUCUCUCUUCACUAAAAAAAGAGAUCACUUUUUUUGAACGAUUAAAAAAUAUUUUUUUGUUAAAAAAGCUUUUAGGGGUUUAAACUUUUAUUAUGAUUUAUAAAAAUGUAUAUGAUUUAUAAAAAAAUGUUUACUAUUUUUCAAAGAAUUACCACGAAUUUAAAGAUGUUCACAAAUAAAAAAUAAGUUAAGUAAAUAAGACAUAAGUAAAAAAGGGAAAAAAGCGGAUGAAAGAAUGCCCUAUGAAAACCUAAAAAACCCAGUAGAAAAAUACUUCCUCCGUUUUUAAAUAUAAGUUUUUUUAAAGGUUUCACUUAAGCCCUACAUACGGAUGUAUAUAGACACAAUUUAGAGUGUACAUUCACUCAUUUUGCUUGGUAUGUACUCCCUCCGUUCCUAAAUAUAAGUUUUUCUAGAGAUUCCACUAGUAGACUACAUACGAAUGUGUAUAGAUAUAAUUUAGAGUGUAAAUUCAUUCAUUUUGCUUCGUAUGUAGACUUUUAAUAAAAUAUCUUAAAAGACUUAUAUUUAGGAACGGAGGGAGUAGUUGUCUAGUGAAAUUUCUAAAAGGACUUAGGUACGGAGGGAGUAGAAAAGGAAGUUGAGAAAUAAACGUUUUUUUUUAGAAACAGUUGAGAUUUGAGAAGUAACCUAGAGAAAAAGAGAAAGAGAAGAAAGAUAGCACCUGAAGCUCCCGAUUGGCCCAUCAUAGCUCCCCAGUUCAGUUGAGAAAUACCCUAGAGAAAAAAGAGUAGAUUUUGGGAUGGUGAACAUGGAAAUUUCUAUUUUGUCACUCCGGCAAGUAGUCGGGCAACAGGCAGAUCGACUAGCAUUCGGAUGGGCCGGUCCGUUCAAACGUUUCGGCCAAUUCCGGUUUUGAGAAUCUUCUUGGUGGUUCCUCGCCGUUUUUUUUUCUGGUUUUGGGAACCUUCUAGGAGGUUACUAAAACGGUUUUUCUAUUUCGGAUUUUUCUACUUUUUGUUUCUUUUCUUUUUCAUUUUUCUAUUUUUUCCUUUUCUUUGCUCUUUGGUUUUUUAUUUUCCAUGUUUCUUUUCUUUGAAAACUUUAUAUAUUUAUUCGGAAUUUUAUAACAUGUUCCUGUUUUCAAAAAUUGCAUCCAAUUUGAGAAAUGUUCAGGAAUUUAAAAACUCUUCUUAUUUUUAAAGUUUGUUUAGAAUUUCAAAAAAUGUUCAUGUUUCAAAAUAUCUUUCAGGAAUUUGAAAAAAUGUUCCUGUUUACAAUUGUUGUUCACAAUUUCAAAAAAUGCUCGUCUUUAAAAAAAUGUACUUGUUUUUCAUUUUUGUUAUGUUCAUGUUUUGAAAAAUUAUUCAGGAAUUAAAAAAACUGUUCUCGUUUUCAAAUUCUGGUUAGAAUGUCAUUCAUAAAAUGUUCAUGUUUCAGAAACGUACAAGAUUUUCAAAAUAUGUUUUCACUUUAAAAAUAUGUUCAGACUUUCAGAAAAAUGUUCUUCUUUCAAAAAAAUGUUUAGGAAUUUCGGAAAAUGUUUCUUGUUUCGUAAAAUUCAUUGUGUUAGAAUAUGUUCGAUUUUUUCGAAUUUUUUCUUGUUUUUUGUAAACUCGUCUUACAAGAAUGUUCUCAUUUUUCAGACAAAAAUACAGUACAUUUUUUCAAAACUGUUCAUUGCCAUUACGUUUUUGUUAAUGCCACAUUUUCUCAAUUCAAGAACUUUCUCGGAAUAUGAUGAACAUUUUUGAAUCUGAGAACUUUUUUGCAAUUUAAAGAAAAACUUUUCAAUUGACGAACAAUUUUGACGGCGUUGAAAAUUUUGUGAAUUGAAAGAACUAAUUGUGUGUUUCUUUUUUGAUUGAUUGCAAGGUUUUGUUGGUAGCUUACCAAGCUAGCUGCUUGGUAAUUGUGUGUUUCUCGUAUCAAUGAAACAACGCCAAGAACUUGCUUUUAUUCCUAUUUUGUUUUUCUGUUCGUGUCUUGUAGCUGUAUUUCUCAGAAUAAAUCGAACAACCAAAAAAGAAAUUGGAGCGAAGAAAUGAGCUCACCUGGCCUGCCACUGAGACGCUCUGGGCCCGCCAGUGGGAUGCUUUGUGCGAAGCGACUCCUCUUUGAAGCAAAGAGUGUCAUAUAGACGCUCCCGGCGAACAUUCUAGGAAAACCCUAUAGACGCUCCGGUUCUGUUUCUUCCUCUUCUUUAUUCAUGUGUCGCCUCUUUAUUAUUUUUGUUUUCCUCUUUUUUCUGUUUCUUUCUUUUCAUUUCUUGUCUUUUCGGUUUCCUUUUUUGUUUAUUUCCCUUUUCCCUUUUCAAGUUCACUUACAUUUGAAAAAAUUGUUUGAGAAUUACAAACUUUGUUCGAUUUUUUUUGUAUUUAUGAAAUGUUUGAGAAUUUGGAAAAAUAUGUAUGUAUUUUAUAAAAUGUUCAGUUUGAAAAAAACUUAUGUUUUAGUUUUUAUUCACAAAUACAAAAAUGUGCAUGUUUGUAAGGAAAUAUUUGGCAUUUUAUAAAAAACGUCUGCUUUUAAUACGUUAUUCAGAAUUCAAAAUUUGCUCACAAAUAUGGAAACUAUUUGUGUUUAUUUUUUGUUUGCUCCAAAAGGACUAAAAAUCAGUUGAAGUAUUUCAUAUUCAAAAAUUGAAAAUGUGGGGGUAGGAGUUGGAUUUUGCCAAACAAAGGAUAAUAGAAAAUAAUUAAAUAGAAGUAUAGCAGGCAUAAUAUCCACAAUUGGAUUGAAAAUAGCAUAAGCUUCGGGUUGGAAGUUGCAGCAAGUAGUUUUCUCACUGGAGUACUUUUGGACACCAGAGCCGAGUCAACAAAGGUUUACUAAUUGAACAAAAAGAGUCCAAUUAACUAUCUUCCAUGAAGGGUCUAAUUCAAAAAAGGUGUAAUAAUUAAUUCAACCAAAGUAGGCAGUAACAAAAAGAGUCUACUCUAAUUUAGCUAACUUUUGGCAUUGCUCAAGGCCAUUCCGCAUUUCUGAGAUAACUUCGACAGUUGAUUGCAACAAAAAGGAAAUGAGAACCCAAGGAAAGCACGCGAGAGACAAAUAUUUUUCAGAUGGGGUGCGCUACUUUUCUUCUGCUGCGCUACUGGGCUUUCCUCAUCCUCCUUCCAAAAACAGACCGAGGAAGCGCUGCUGCAUGCCGCUGCAAUUAGUCCCACCUCGCUAGUUUAGGUGACGCUAAACCAGUUUAUAAGGCUAAACGCGGCUGUUUGUGGCACGACCUUACUUGAACAGGAUCUGUUCUAUAGGCUCGUACCGCUGCAUCCUUUACCAAUAAGGAGGCAAGCACUUCAGUCUGGUUGAUGCAUUCUGACCUCUAGACUAGAGCGUGAUUAACUGCCAGGAUUCACCUGAUGGGUGUUAUCCGACGGCUGUAGAGGAUCGUUCCUGCCUACUCUAGUGUGUGCAGGGUGGCCUAGAGGUUGUCUGACAGACUCCAUAACACUUUUUUAAGUUUGCUUUUCAGCUCCUUUUGGCUAUUUAAAAUAGAUUCAGUUGACGUUUAAGUACCCAAUGCAGCUGUAAGAAUAGAUUCAGUUGUUCUUAAAUUUAGUAGCGUUCAUCAAGGC
This 5677-nucleotide long non-coding RNA is filed under the name Hordeum vulgare. RNAcentral describes it as "long non-coding RNA (HVUL_LNC014665)". The stretch from base 5325 to 5544 matches the Rfam family "Plant small nucleolar RNA U3". Lineage: Eukaryota; Viridiplantae; Streptophyta; Magnoliopsida; Poales; Poaceae. The record is from RNAcentral.